UGACAUUUAGAAUUCGAGGUCUAACUACGAAGUGUUGAAGCAGUAAGAGAAAUGGGGGAAAUUAAAUUCAAAUGUAGCUUUCAUUCAAUCAGAAUUUCACUUGAAUUACAUGUUCAAUAGUCACUCAUUGUUCAUAGGCUAAAGAGAUACUUGGAUCAAAGAAAAUAAGAAGAGUGAAAGAUUACCAACAACAUAGCAGUGUUAGUAACAAUGUAACAGUGAAAAACUAGCAGAUCCCAACAAAACUGAUUUCUCCAGACCAUUUCAAACCUAGAUUAAAUCCACAAAUAUCCCCGGCUUCUUGAAUUUAAAGCAUUACACACAGAACCCCAAUGUAACAGUGUUUUUCAGUGUUUUCUUGAUAUUUUUUUCUAGUUUUCAAACCUUUUAGUGUUUAAAGUUUCUGGAGCCAUUUUUUAUUUCUC
This 425-nucleotide long non-coding RNA is filed under the name Nicotiana benthamiana. RNAcentral's name for it is "long non-coding RNA (NBEN_LNC038604)". The record is from RNAcentral. Lineage: Eukaryota; Viridiplantae; Streptophyta; Magnoliopsida; Solanales; Solanaceae.